AUACGGAGGAUCCGAGCGUUAUCCGGAUUUAUUGGGUUUAAAGGGAGCGUAGGCGGAUUAUUAAGUCAGUUGUGAAAGUUUGCGGCUCAACCGUAAAAUUGCAGCUGAUACUGGUAGUCUUGAGUGCAGCAGAGGUAGGCGGAAUUCGUGGUGUAGCGGUGAAAUGCUUAGAUAUCACGAAGAACUCCGAUUGCGAAGGCAGCUUACUGGACUGUAACUGACGCUGAUGCUCGAAAGUGUGGGUAUCAAACAGGAUUAGAUACCCUGGUAGUCCACACAGUAAACGAUGAAUACUCGCUGUUUGCGAUAUACAGCAAGCGGCCAAGCGAAAGCAUUAAGUAUUCCACCUGGGGAGUACGCCGGCAACGGUGAAACUCAAAUGAAUUGACGGGG
Molecule: ribosomal RNA, 393 nt
Filed under: uncultured bacterium
Lineage: Bacteria
Description: partial 16S ribosomal RNA
Rfam family: Bacterial small subunit ribosomal RNA
Source: RNAcentral